Molecule: ribosomal RNA, 447 nt
Filed under: uncultured bacterium
Lineage: Bacteria
Description: bacterial SSU rRNA
Rfam family: Bacterial small subunit ribosomal RNA
Source: RNAcentral
CCAGACUCCUACGGGAGGCAGCAGUGGGGAAUAUUGCACAAUGGGGGAAACCCUGAUGCAGCGACGCCGCGUGAGCGAUGAAGUAUUUCGGUAUGUAAAGCUCUAUCAGCAGGGAAGAAAAUGACGGUACCUGACUAAGAAGCCCCGGCUAACUACGUGCCAGCAGCCGCGGUAAUACGUAGGGGGCAAGCGUUAUCCGGAUUUACUGGGUGUAAAGGGAGCGUAGACGGUCCUGCAAGCCAGAUGUGGAAGCCCGGGGCUCAACCCCGGGACUGCAUUUGGAACUGUAAGGCUAGAGUGUCGGAGAGGCAGGCGGAAUUCCUAGUGUAGCGGUGAAAUGCGUAGAUAUUAGGAGGAACACCAGUGGCGAAGGCGGCCUGCUGGACGAUGACUGACGUUGAGGCUCGAAAGCGUGGGGAGCAGACAGGAUUAGAUACCCCCGUAAAG